This 375-nucleotide ribosomal RNA is filed under the name uncultured organism. RNAcentral's name for it is "partial 16S ribosomal RNA". It matches the Rfam family "Bacterial small subunit ribosomal RNA", at positions 527 to 896 of the family's 1533-position model. The record is from RNAcentral.
GUAGGUGGCAAGCGUUGUCCGGAAUUAUUGGGCGUAAAGCGCGCGCAGGUGGUUCUUUAAGUCUGAUGUGAAAGCCCCCCGGGCUCAACCCGGGGAGGGUCAUUGGAAACUGGGGAACUUGAGUGCAGGAGAGGAAAGUGGAAUUCCACGUGUAGCGGUGAAAUGCGUAGAUAUGUGGAGGAACACCAGUGGCGAAGGCGACUUUCUGGCCUGUAACUGACACUGAGGCGCGAAAGCGUGGGGAGCAAACAGGAUUAGAUACCCUGGUAGUCCACGCCGUAAACGAUGAGUGCUAAGUGUUGGGGGGUUUCCGCCCCUCAGUGCUGCAGCUAACGCAUUAAGCACUCCGCCUGGGGAGUACGGUCGCAAAGACUG